UACGUAGGCAGCAAGCGUUGUUCGGAAUUACUGGGCGUAAAGAGUGUGUAGGCGGUUCUCUAAGUUCCGUGUGAAAUCUCCCGGCUUAACUGGGAGGGUGCGCGGAAGACUGGAGGGCUGGAGUAUGGGAGAGGAAAGCGGAAUUCCUGGUGUAGCGGUGAAAUGCGUAGAUAUCAGGAGGAACACCUGCGGUGUAGACAGCUUUCUGGACCAUCACUGGCGCUGAGACACGAAAGCGUGGGUAGCAAACAGG
Molecule: ribosomal RNA, 253 nt
Filed under: uncultured bacterium
Lineage: Bacteria
Description: partial 16S ribosomal RNA
Rfam family: Bacterial small subunit ribosomal RNA
Source: RNAcentral